CCGGUUGAUCCUGCCAGAGGUUACUGCUAUCAGGGUUCGACUAAGCCAUGUGAGUCAAGUGUUCUUUGUGAACACGGCGAACUGCUCAGUAACACGCGGAUAAUCUACCCUUAGGUUUGGGAUAACCCCGGGAAACUGGGGAUAAUAUCGAAUAUUUCAAGGUUGCUGGAAUGCACUUUGAUUAAAAGCUACGGCGCCUAAGGAUGAGUCUGUGGCCUAUCAGGUAGUAGUGGGUGUAACGUACCUACUAGCCCGCGACGGGUACGGGUUGUGAGAGCAAGAGCCCGGAGAUGGAUUCUGAGACACGAAUCCAGGCCCUACGGGGUGCAGCAGGCGCGAAACCUUUACAAUGCGCGAAAGCGCGAUAAGGGAACCCUGAGUGCCAGCACACAGUGCUGGCUGUCCAACUGUUCAAAAAACAGCUGAUAGCAAGGGCCGGGCAAGACCGGUGCCAGCCGCCGCGGUAACACCGGCGGCCCGAGUGGUAACCGAUUUUAUUGGGCUUAAAGCGUUCGUAGCCGGUUUGGUAAGUCUCUUAGGAAAUCUGGCAGCUUAACUGCUAGGCGUCUAAGAGAUACUGCCAAACUUGGGACCGGGAGAGGUAGGAGGUACUCCAUGGGUAGGGGUGAAAUCUUGUAAUCCUUGGAGGACCAUCGAUGGCGAAGGCAUCCUACCAGAACGGGUCCGACGGUGAGGGACGAAAGCUGGGGGCACAAACCGGAUUAGAUACCCGGGUAGUCCCAGCUGUAAACGAUGCUCGCUAGGUGUCGGGUGCGGUGCGUCCGUAUUCGGUGCCGUAGGGAAACCGCGAAGCGAGCCGCCUGGGAAGUACGGUCGCAAGGCUGAAACUUAAAGGAAUUGGCGGGGGAGCAC
This 873-nucleotide ribosomal RNA is filed under the name uncultured archaeon. RNAcentral describes it as "bacterial SSU rRNA". It matches the Rfam family "Archaeal small subunit ribosomal RNA", at positions 4 to 879 of the family's 1478-position model. The record is from RNAcentral.